GACGAACGCUGGCGGCGUGCCUAAUACAUGCAAGUUGAGCGCUGAAGGUUGGUACUUGUACCGACUGGAUGAGCAGCGAACGGGUGAGUAACGCGUGGGGAAUCUGCCUUUGAGCGGGGGACAACAUUUGGAAACGAAUGCUAAUACCGCAUAAAAACUUUAAACACAAGUUUUAAGUUUGAAAGAUGCAAUUGCAUCACUCAAAGAUGAUCCUGCGUUGUAUUAGCUAGUUGGUGAGGUAAAGGCUCACCAAGGCGAUGAUACAUAGCCGACCUGAGAGGGUGCUCGGCCACAUUGGGACUGGGACACGGCCCAAACUCCUACGGGAGGCAGCAGUAGGGAAUCUUCGGCAAUGGACGAAAGUCUGACCGAGCAACGCCGCGUGAGUGAAGAAGGUUUUCGGAUCGUAAAACUCUGUUGGUAGAGAAGAACGUUGGUGAGAGUGGAAAGCUCAUCAAGUGACGGUAACUACCCAGAAAGGGACGGCUAACUACGUG
RNAcentral lists this ribosomal RNA (497 nucleotides) under uncultured bacterium. Its description in RNAcentral is "partial 16S ribosomal RNA". It matches the Rfam family "Bacterial small subunit ribosomal RNA", at positions 28 to 507 of the family's 1533-position model. The record is from RNAcentral.